CAGCAACAGCUUUAUUUGUUUACAAAUUUUUGUUUGGCUGCUCUGGUUUUUGCAUCUUGUUCUCCACAAGACCACACAAUGUGCACAAACAGAAUUUCCCCGGCACUGGAGCAAAGAAUUUCCUGUUUUCACUUCUUUCCAAGACAGCUUGAUGAAGAAACAACUGACCAGGGAAACAAAAAGGGAUCAUUGCAAGAGGAAAUGACUUGAAAUGCAAGUGACGAAUAUAAUAUGGGCAGCACUAGGUUGAACAUGUACGAUCUUCCCCCAUCACACAAGGAUAUUUAUUCCGUG
This 294-nucleotide long non-coding RNA is filed under the name Prunus dulcis (almond). RNAcentral's name for it is "sRNA ncRNA". The record is from RNAcentral. Lineage: Eukaryota; Viridiplantae; Streptophyta; Magnoliopsida; Rosales; Rosaceae.